Molecule: non-coding RNA, 22 nt
Filed under: Arabidopsis thaliana (thale cress)
Lineage: Eukaryota; Viridiplantae; Streptophyta; Magnoliopsida; Brassicales; Brassicaceae
Source: RNAcentral
AUCUGUACAGCAUAAUAUCUGU